UGUGCCUCGUCACAUUGCAUAUUCUAAUUUAUGGAACAUGUCAGUCUCUGCUGUGGCUGUUGCUAGGGCGACCAAGCCCCCUUCAAAUUUUAUACCGACGUCCUGCGUGAGAAGACCAUGUUGCAGACAGUGAACAGUGGGGGAUUUACUGGGUUUGAGGAAAAAAUGACUCUAAGGAUGAAAGAAAGAAAAGGGGGGGGGGGCUGCGGAGGACGGGAAAAUGUCAAAAGGUUUGAUUUUUGGUCUGUAAGGACCCUAAUCCAAUUAUGAGACAUCUGAACUGUCAAAUCUGGAACAUGCAAUGGACGUUAGACCUCUGACUUUUCGCCAGAAAAGGAUCGUUAUGGGCAAAACACGAUUUGACCUCUGACCCUCGCAGGGCUGCAGUUCUAAUUCCUUCCUCCUGCUCCCUAAACAACACUGGGUCAGUCGUGACCCCCCUCGGGGUAAAGAUGACCAACUGGAGAUGAAACUUUGGCUACCACGACUGCGUGCGUCUGGACGGAGAACGCCAUAAGAUGUUCUGGUUUGCAUGAGCAAAAGUAAAUAUAGAUUAAUCACGGCAACAAAAUGUAGCUAUAUAAACCAGAGGAUCAUCUACAAGCAGAGGGGAAGAAAAAAACAAAACAAAACAAAAGCAACAAAGACGGUUUACAAGAGCUGCUGAAAAUAAGACAGAAGUAAGACUCUUGGUUUGGUUUCAGGGGUCGUAAAGAGAUCCUGACAGGACUGUUUAUCCGUUCGCGCAUAGAAAUGGGUCUGGGAGGCAGAUGUUCAAUGACCCAAUCUCUUUGUGUGUGUGUGUGUGUUUGCUUUUGGUUGAGCAUAAAUCUGAGCAUUUAACAAAGAUCCCUCGCUAUAUUGACAUUGUAAUACGUGUCGUCGACUAAAGAACGUCUGCCUUCUGUGUUUUGUAAUGGAGGUUUAGUUUUUCUGUUCUCUCUUCAAUGCGUGUCUCAAUGCAAAUAAGCAAAAUAACAUACAGCAGCACCAUUCUCAUUCUGACUCGGUUUGCUGUUGCAGUGCAGAGAUAUUUAUCGUCGGGUCAGAAACCUCGAUAGCAACCUAACAAACCGACAGUCAGUCCAGGAAAUUAAAUGCACUGCAUGGCGAGUGCGGUGUGUCUUUAAAUCACGACUGGCCACAUGUGACCAAAACUGUGAUUUAAAAAAAAAAUAAAACUUUGGAGGCAUUAACACUUCACUCUUUUUAACCACCGUGUCACUAAAAUGCUUCGUAUUAGUAAUUCAUGUGGUUGUGUUAAAGUGUGGUUUGACCCAGAUUUCCACUGAGCUGGUUAAAACUAGCUAAAGUAAAUGUUACACCUGUGC
This is a long non-coding RNA of Poecilia latipinna (sailfin molly), 1331 nucleotides long. RefSeq lists it as uncharacterized. Lineage: Eukaryota; Metazoa; Chordata; Actinopteri; Cyprinodontiformes; Poeciliidae. The transcript is spliced from 3 exons. The record is from RefSeq and is a predicted model, not a curated record.